AUUGAACGCUGGCGGCAGGCCUAACACAUGCAAGUCGAACGGUAGCACAGAGGAGCUUGCUCCUUGGGUGACGAGUGGCGGACGGGUGAGUAAUGUCUGGGAAACUGCCCGAUGGAGGGGGAUAACUACUGGAAACGGUAGCUAAUACCGCAUAACGUCGCAAGACCAAAGAGGGGGACCUUCGGGCCUCUUGCCAUCGGAUGUGCCAGAUGGGAUGAGCUAGUAGGUGGGGUAACGGCUCACCUAGGCGACGAUCCCUAGCUGGUCUGAGAGGAUGACCAGCCACACUGGAACUGAGACACGGUCCAGACUCCUACGGGAGGCAGCAGUGGGGAAUAUUGCGCAAGGGGCGCAAGCCUGAUGCAGCCAUGCCGCGUGUAAGAAGAAGGCCUUCGGGUUGUAAAGUACUUUCAGCGGGGAGGAAGGGAGUAAAGUUAAUACCUUUGCUCAUUGACGUUACCCGCAGAAGAAGCACCGGCUAACUACGUGCCAGCAGCCGCCGUAA
This 505-nucleotide ribosomal RNA is filed under the name uncultured bacterium. RNAcentral's name for it is "partial 16S ribosomal RNA". It matches the Rfam family "Bacterial small subunit ribosomal RNA", at positions 29 to 523 of the family's 1533-position model. The record is from RNAcentral.